This 92-nucleotide microRNA precursor is filed under the name Erinaceus europaeus (western European hedgehog). RNAcentral's name for it is "miRNA (ENSEEUG00000016081.1)". Lineage: Eukaryota; Metazoa; Chordata; Mammalia; Eulipotyphla; Erinaceidae. The record is from RNAcentral.
AUAUACACUAUAUUAUGUAUAAAUGUAUACACAUUUUCUAUAUAUCAUACAGUGUAUAUAUUAUACAUGUAUAGUUACAUAUAUGUGCAUAU